Molecule: ribosomal RNA, 424 nt
Filed under: uncultured bacterium
Lineage: Bacteria
Description: bacterial SSU rRNA
Rfam family: Bacterial small subunit ribosomal RNA
Source: RNAcentral
UGGGGAAUUUUGGACAAUGGGGGCAACCCUGAUCCAGCAACGCCGCGUGAGGGAUGAAGGUCUUCGGAUUGUAAACCUCUUUUGUGAGGGAAGAAAAGAUGCGUGAAUAGCGCGUAUUGACGGUACUUCAUGAAUAAGCCACGGCUAACUUCGUGCCAGCAGCCGCGGUAAUACGAAGGUGGCAAGCGUUACUCGGAAUUACUAGGCGUAAAGCGCAGGUAGGUGGUUGGAUAAGUCUGUUAUGAAAUCUCCCGGCUUAACCGGGAGCGGUUAAUGGAUACUGUCCGGCUCGAGUGUGGGAGAGGUAACUGGAAUUCCAGGUGUAGCGGUGAAAUGCGUAGAUAUCUGGAGGAACACCAAUGGCGAAAGCAGGUUACUGGCCCAAUACUGACACUGAGCUGCGAAAGCUAGGGGAGCAAACAGG